UUGGAAACUGGAUGACUUGAGUGCAGUAGAGGAAAGUGGAACUCCAUGUGUAGCGGUGAAAUGCGUAGAUAUAUGGAAGAACACCAGUGGCGAAGGCGGCUUUCUGGACUGUAACUGACGUUGAGGCUCGAAAGUGUGGGUAGCAAACAGGAUUAGAUACCCUGGUAGUCCACACCGUAAACGAUGAGUGCUAGGUGUUUGAGGGUUUCCGCCCUUAAGUGCCGCAGCUAACGCAUUAAGCACUCCGCCUGGGGAGUACGACCGCAAGGUUGAAACUCAAAGGAAUUGACGGGGACCCGCACAAGCGG
RNAcentral lists this ribosomal RNA (308 nucleotides) under uncultured bacterium. RNAcentral's name for it is "bacterial SSU rRNA". It matches the Rfam family "Bacterial small subunit ribosomal RNA", at positions 626 to 932 of the family's 1533-position model. The record is from RNAcentral.